Molecule: long non-coding RNA, 201 nt
Filed under: Musa acuminata (dwarf banana)
Lineage: Eukaryota; Viridiplantae; Streptophyta; Magnoliopsida; Zingiberales; Musaceae
Description: long non-coding RNA (MACU_LNC010613)
Source: RNAcentral
GACUUUAGGGUCUUAUCAUUUGGUAUCAGAGCGACGAUAAGACUUUAGGGUCUUAUCAUUUGGUAUCAGAGCCUACGAUAAGACUUUAGGGUCUUAUCAUUUGGUAUCAGAGCCUACGAUAAGACUUUAGGGUCUUAUCAUUUGGUAUCAGAGCAGCGAUCCUUGGUGUUCUCGCUGCAACAAAGCUAUCAAAAAAAAAAA